Molecule: ribosomal RNA, 1580 nt
Filed under: Myrmecobius fasciatus (numbat)
Lineage: Eukaryota; Metazoa; Chordata; Mammalia; Dasyuromorphia; Myrmecobiidae
Description: 16S ribosomal RNA
Rfam family: Bacterial large subunit ribosomal RNA
Source: RNAcentral
CCAUAUCAUAGUCCUAAAAUUAAAUAUCUAACUAAACUAUAUUAAAUAAUCUCCAAAACAUUUAAUUAUCACAGUAUAGGUGAUAGAACAGAGAACCUUAAGGCACUAUAGCGACAGUACCGCAAGGGAACAUUGAAAUACUCUUAUUUAAGCAAUAAAAAGCAAAGACUAAACCUCGUACCUUUUGCAUAAUGAUUUAGCUAGUCAUUCCGGACAAAAAGAAUUUAAGCCCGUUUCCCCGAAAUUAAGUGAGCUAUUAUAAAACAGUUAUCAGAACGAACUCGUCUAUGUGGCAAAAUAGUGAGAUGAUUUUAUAAUAGCGGUGAAAAGCCUACCGAACUUAAGGAUAGCUGGUUGUCCAAAAAAUGAAUUUAAGUUCAACUUUAAAUCUAAUCAAAGUACCAUCAAACAUAACUUAAAUUUAAAAGAUACUCAUAAGGGGGACAACUCUUAUGAUACGUAAACAAACUUUCUUAGAGGGUAAUGAAUUAACUACAAAUAAAACAUUGUGGGCCUAAAAGCAGCCAUCAAUUAAGAAAGCGUUAAAGCUCAAAUCUAACACACACUUAAUACCAAUAAACUAACAAAACCCCUAAACCAAUAUUGGACAAUUCUAUUAUUAUAUAGAAGAUAUAAUGCUAAUAUGAGUAACAUGAUAUAUAUAUAUAUCUCCUUGCAUAAGCUCAUAACAGACAGGAAACACCCGCUCAACUCUAACAAACAAAUAGUAAAACCCACACACUAGAAGUCUAUCACACCUAUUGUUAACCCGACACAGGCAUGCAUUAAGGAAAGAUUAAAAGGAAUAAAAGGAACUCGGCAAACAAAAACCCCGCCUGUUUACCAAAAACAUCACCUCUAGCACUGACUAGUAUUAGAGGCACUGCCUGCCCGGUGAGUUAUUACUUUAACGGCCGCGGUAUCCUGACCGUGCAAAGGUAGCAUAAUCACUUGUCUUUUAAAUAGAGACUAGUAUGAAUGGCAUAACGAGGGUUUAACUGUCUCUUAUUCCCCAUCAGUGAAAUUGACCUUCCCGUGCAGAGGCGGGAAUAAUGAUACAAGACGAGAAGACCCUGUGGAGCUUAAGACACAUAUCUCAACACAUACGCUACUACACACCUAAGGGACCAAACAGUAUAUUAACUGAGAUAUAGCCUUUGGUUGGGGUGACCUCGGAGCACAAAAAAACCUCCGAAUGAUAUAACCUAGAUUCAACCAAUCUAAGUGUAUUACUACCAGUAAUUGACCCAUAUUUUGAUCAACGGAACAAGUUACCCCAGGGAUAACAGCGCAAUCCUAUUUGAGAGCCCAUAUCGAAAAUCAGGGUUUACGACCUCGAUGUUGGAUCAGGACAUCCCAAUGGUGUAGAAGCUAUUAAUGGUUCGUUUGUUCAACGAUUAAAGUCCUACGUGAUCUGAGUUCAGACCGGAGAAAUCCAGGUCGGUUUCUAUCUGUAACUUAAUUUCUCCCAGUACGAAAGGACAAGAGAAAUGGGGUCAAUAUUAUAAACAAACCCCAGAAUCAACAUAUGAACCCAUCUUAAUAUUUUAAUUCAAUACGUUACACUUCUAGGCCAGAAG